CCUACGGGGGGCAGCAGUGAGGAAUAUUGGUCAAUGGACGAGAGUCUGAACCAGCCAAGUAGCGUGAAGGAUGACUGCCCUAUGGGUUGUAAACUUCUUUUAUAUGGGAAUAAAAUGUUCCACGUGUGGGAUUUUGUAUGUACCAUAUGAAUAAGGAUCGGCUAACUCCGUGCCAGCAGCCGCGGUAAUACGGAGGAUCCGAGCGUUAUCCGGAUUUAUUGGGUUUAAAGGGAGCGUAGGUGGAUUGUUAAGUCAGUUGUGAAAGUUUGCGGCUCAACCGUAAAAUGGCAGUUGAAACUGGCAGUCUUGAGGACAGUAGAGGUGGGCGGAAUUCGUGGUGUAGCGGUGAAAUGCUUAGAUAUCACGAAGAACUCCGAUUGCGAAGGCAGUUCACUGGACUGCAACUGACACUGAGGCUCGAAAGUGUGGGUAUCAAACAGGAUUAGAUACCCCAGUAGUC
Molecule: ribosomal RNA, 460 nt
Filed under: uncultured bacterium
Lineage: Bacteria
Description: partial 16S ribosomal RNA
Rfam family: Bacterial small subunit ribosomal RNA
Source: RNAcentral